RNAcentral lists this ribosomal RNA (468 nucleotides) under uncultured bacterium. Its description in RNAcentral is "partial 16S ribosomal RNA". It matches the Rfam family "Bacterial small subunit ribosomal RNA", at positions 28 to 507 of the family's 1533-position model. The record is from RNAcentral.
GACGAACGCUGGCGGCGUGCUUAACACAUGCAAGUCGAACGGACAGGCCCUGCUUUUGUUGGUUUCUCGAUUGGCGCACGCGUGAGUAACACGUGAGUAUCCUCCCCUUGACUUUCGGAUAACUUCACGAAACUCGGGCUCAUACCGGAUAUAAUCUCCUGCUCCAUGUUGUUGGUUGGAGAGUUUCGGCGGUUGUGGAUGGACUCGCGGCUUCUCAGCUUGUUUGUCGGGUAGUUGCUUACCAAGGCUGUGACGGGUAGCCGGCCUGAGAGGGGUACCGGCCACAUGGGGACUGAGAGACGGAGCAGACUCCUACGGGAGGCAGAAGGGGGGAAUAUGGCACAAUGGGCGGAAGCGAGAGGCAGAAACGCCGCGAGCGGGAUGACGGCCUUCGGGGGGUAAACAGAUGUGGAAGGUGACGAAGAGUGAGUGACGGUAAUGGGUAAAGAAGCAACGGCUAACUACGUG